UGUCUGUAACCCUACUUUUGGUCUGUCUUUCAGGGUAAAGGUAGCAGUAAUGCUGACGCUGGCAAGCAAACUGAAGCGGGAGGACGGUCUCAAAGGGUCCCGGACAUCAGCCACAGCCUCCGACUCCACUCGGAGGGUAUCUGUGAGAGACAGGCUGCUUGUUAAAGAGGUCGCGGAGCUUGAAGCUAAUUUACCGUGUACAUGUAAGGUGCAUUUUCCUGAUCCAAACAAGCUUCAUUGCUUUCAGCUAACUGUAACCCCAGAUGAGGGUUACUACCAGGGUGGAAAAUUUCAGUUUGAAACUGAAGUUCCUGAUGCGUACAACAUGGUGCCUCCCAAAGUGAAAUGCCUGACGAGGAUCUGGCACCCCAACAUCACAGAGACAGGCGAAAUAUGUCUAAGCUUACUGAGAGAACAUUCGAUUGAUGGCACCGGCUGGGCUCCCACAAGGACCUUAAAGGAUGUUGUUUGGGGAUUAAACUCUUUGUUUACUGAUCUUUUGAAUUUUGACGAUCCGCUGAAUAUUGAAGCUGCAGAACAUCAUUUGAGGGACAAGGUUGCUUCCUGCUCUUUGUAUGAAAUAAGGGGAAGACUUGCAUUUCUAAACUGUUAGCCCCAGUAAGAUGGACCUAAAAUCCUCCAGACAGUGAUGCCUUCACAUGAAUUCUAAGAAGUGCCCCAGCCCCAUGCCCGUCCUCAUGCUGAGUCAUGAUGACAGUUACUGAACUUUCUCCUUACUUUAUUUCGUGCUCAUUGUUCAUCCCAAGUUUGACUGGUGGCCACUUAAGUGCCAGGAAGACUUCCGGAAUAAAGUGGAAGACUACAUUAAGCGUUAUGCCAGAUGAUAGGAGGAGGAGAUGGUGGGGCUGUGGACUGUGUUGUAGGCUUGUCUCCAACCUCAACCAAGAGGGAGCCCCCCCUCCCCAGUCCUCGCACUCCCCUGAGACCCACAGGGUCAUCGACAUCCUGUGACCAUGCUGUCCCAAGGAAGAACCUCUUCACGACUGCCCAUUGUAGAUGGAGAGUCCCACAUAAAUACAGCAAGAAAUGUGUUUGGGGUUCUAAAGAGUUGUCUGCUUCCCUUAACAUGUUUACUUUUUGGAAACUGUACUGUAUAGGCUAUUGAUGAGAUUCCUGAGAAGUUGUAAUGAACUCAGAAUUGAGGCUAGCGCUUGCUUCUUCCCCUUUUCCCAAACAAAAUCCUUCCCCGCACAAGUGAUGCUGAUGACGUGCUCAGUGUAGCUCGCAGAGGGGCGAUAAGAAACCCGCUACAUACUGUGAUUGGAUGCAAAUUCUCUUAGCUCCUCCCACGGAUGUUGGCCCUGCCUAGAUGUCGUGAAGCUUCCCAGAAUGCAUAGUCAUUCACUGUAGAUCUCUUACUGAAAUGCGUAUUUUAUUUAAUGUAAGUAUAUUUUGGAACAGAUUUGUAAUUUGUACAAUUUAAUGCUUUAAUUAUUUUUUUCUAUUCUCAUUUAGUUUGUAUUUUCAUUGUAUAGAGCAGACAGAAAGAUGUUGGGUCAAGCAACUAUUGAAGAGAAAUACAAAGAAAAUAUGAAAGACAUUAUUCCUUCUGUCCAAAUGAAAUGAGAAUUUGACUUUUAAAAAUCAGCUCUUGCUUUUGGGUCCAGAUGGGGCAAGGAAGUUUUAGAACCCUUUGAAGCUAGAUCAGGAUGAUUUUUGAAAAAGAAAAAGAGAAAAGGGAGCCCUUUCUCACAUGCUGCCCGGAGGAAACUGGCUGGAGCCCAGAUUAGCCAGGGGCUUGGUGUUCCACAGCAGUCUUGUGGUUGUGAGCCAGUGGGCAGUGCCAGAGAGAGAGACCCUCGUGUCCUGAGGGAUGGGAGAGAUACCUUGGGAAUCAGCCCACUGAUGUCUGAUGUCACUGAGACCGUACCUGUGGCCUUCUGAGUCUGCUGCAGUUCUGGGCCGUCUCAGGGGAGCCCCCUAGGCCUUGGAGGGCCGGGAAUCGGCAGCAGCAUAUAGCCAUAUUCGGUCAGGCCACUGCACUUCAGAGUAAGAACACUAAAGAGGCAAAUGGAUUUACUCCAGCAUUUAGACAUCUGAAUGAGUGAAAUCAAAUGCAAAAUAAAUGUAUGGUUUUCAUCUGCUGCCUGCCUGGCACACUAAAGUUUAACUGACAGCCUCCUUUGAGCUCUGGAUUCCCUCGUCUUCCAUCUACCCAGUCUGGAUGGUUGUUCUUAGUUUAUAAUAAAUCUCUGAGUAUGAGAUUAGUCUUCCUGGAGAUCGGCAGGGAAGGAAUGUAGGCCUUGUUUCCCAUUUGUAAUCAGGAAUUGUACGCGUUAGAUUGAGGGGGGCCUGACUGAUGGUCUCCUGGUGCACAGAGCAGGAAGAGUGGGGCUAGAUCAAGGGCACGGUGGCAUCUUGGAGGCUCAGGGCCUGUGAGAAGACAACAGUAAUCUCACCUCCUGAAAGCCUGGGAGAGGCGCUGCAGCUUACACACGUUUAAUUGGAGCUCUGCCCGGUUUCACAGGAACCCGGUCAGCUGGACCCAGGGCUGGCCUCUGCUAGGUGGGUCAGCAGACCAGCAGCUGGCCUGUCCACACGCCUGAGUUCUGCCCCUGGCGCAGGACACACAGUUCUCUGCCUGGGCAAUCCCAGGCCUGAGUCAUGACGCACCUCACAGCUGUCUGGGCAGCUCCCAGGCUGCACAGCUGGUGGUCCAGAUGGAGGUGAAGAAGUGAUAUCAGCGCCCACAGUUGAAUGGAAGUAUGUAUGUUGUAGGUAAAGGACUGGAAGGGACAGCUGUUGUGAACUCUGACCUUGAAAUGUUUGCACAGAAGAGAAAUACUUUACUUAUUAGAGAUCCAGUAAUUCUUCAAAAAUGACCUGUCCACAUGACGGGAUCAUCCCUUUCUGUCCAAUGGAAAUCUCUCAGGGCCCUGCCCCUUCCCCCUUUUGUUAAGAGUGCACCCAGCCUGGCCCAUCACAGUGGAGAACUGAUAGGGUGCUGCCUACUUGGCCAGCGGGGCCCACGGCAUCUUUUAGUGGCUGCGGAACCCUGACUUCCAGGCUUUUUGGUUUCUUGGGGUCUCCUCCCCACUCAGGUCACAGGAACACUUGUGGUUCUAGUUCAUGUGCUCCACCAACCUGGUGAUAGUUGAUGAUUUCCCGUCUGCCAGGUGUGGGUAUACAGAGCCAGCCCUGGAGCCAGGCAGGAGGGGAGCAGGCCCUGGGGACGUGAAGCUCCGGGACUUCUCCGAUGUCCACUUGCGUCCCCAUAACUCUGCUGCUUAGGAUUUGGUAGGUCAGCAGCAUGUUUUUCAAGCACACUCAGAAGGAAACAGUUCAGGAUAGACCUGACGGAAGGAAAAGCCUCACGUCUCCCGUCUUACCUUCCCUCAGACACACCACCUGCAAGUUAUGUCCCUUUGCAGUCUUCAUAAGGAGCCAGGCGAGUGUAUGACUCCAACAUUAAGUGCUGAUCUGGCUGUGUUCCUUGCUCAUCUUCUGUGUUAUUUUCAUCACUGUAUUUGGAUUGUUGCAGAGCUCUGGCCCAGGGUGCAGUGUCUUGGGUUCUGCUUAACAAGACCCCCUGUUUGGUUUGUUUGUUUGUAAGAUUUUAUUUAUUUGACAGACAGCGAGAGAGGGAACACAAGCAGGGGGAGUGGGAGAGGGAGAAGCAGGCUUCCCGCCGAGCAGGGAGCCCGAUGUGGGACUCGAUCCCAGGACCCUGGGAUCAUGACCUGAGCCGAAGGCAGAUGCUUAACCAACUGAGCCACCCAGGCGCCUCAAGACCCCCUGUUUUAUCACUAUCUCCACAAGCACUGAGAGCCUUAGAGGGCUGUUGAUGGUUUCUCCCGACUACAGCUUAUGCCAGGCUGUGCACCUGCUAGGGCAGUGGCUGCAGUACAGAAGUUCAUGAGAAAAUGGCAAAGAGCUGGUUCAGACUAUUUGCAGUAGCUAAAAUACUUUGAACGUCUUUAAAAGGAACACUUAGUAUUUACUAGUUUAAAUGUUUCAAAGUGUCCAGGCAUAUUUUUCCUCUGCCCUUAGUCUCCCGGACUGUUGAGGGUGCAGGAGGAAAUAGCAUCCUUCCCCAUGACUCAGCCGCAACCAGACCAGUCAUCAGAGUCUCAGGCCACCUGGUGGCAAAGCCAGCAUAUCUUCCUCUUACAGCAGCAGGAACAGAUUGAACAGCACUUCUGCUGGGCUCUGGAGUUGAGCAGAAAAAAUCCCAGAGGGCCGGCAAACUCCCAGGCAGUGGUGAUUGCUAAGAUGUGUUAAACUUGUUCAGAGGACAUGCCCCGCUGUUCCCUAGGGUUGCUCUGUUACUCAGCCCCUCACAUUCUUUAAAGAAGUUGGUAUGAAAAAAAUCACAAACUCCUAUUAAAUCAGACUUUUUGCAGAUUUAUCAAAAUCAACCAGAAUUUUUUUAAUGUAAAAUUCCAACCAAUUGUAAAACUGGUUAGCCACCAAUUGCAGUCUUUAACAAGACUUUUUUUCCAGCUAGUACAGUCUAUUCCAGGCGUUUUUUCACUUUUAUCCACGUAAAACUGUUUCCCCUUGGAAAGUCAGGUUUGCAACAAGUUCAUUAUUCUUCAUCAAACUGUGUCUACUAAAAUGCUAAUAGUCUUAGCAAAAUAAUGUUUUACUUUUCCUUUGCCAAAGAACUUGUAAAAUGAGAGCACCUGUCACUUCCCUCUUCUCCCUCCCAUAGCCCUCCCUCAAACAAAGUAACAGCUUGGAGCGGCUAACUCAGAGGGUUCCAUGUGGCCCACUGAAGUCCCCACUUAUGCCCUGGGUUUCCAUGGGUUACUGAAACUGAUCUAUUGAAAGAAUUGUGGUUGAAAAAAGUUCUUCAAUAAGCCCAGUGAUGAAGGCUUUUGGGGACCUUGCCUUGUUAAGAAUGUCUAUUCGUGUUAAGCUGUAUAAAGAACUGAAUUAUAAUCUUUUUUAAAAAAUCC
Ailuropoda melanoleuca (giant panda) is the source of this 4922-nucleotide RNA transcript. It is a transcript of the gene named ubiquitin conjugating enzyme E2 F (putative), with no coding region annotated. Lineage: Eukaryota; Metazoa; Chordata; Mammalia; Carnivora; Ursidae. The record is from RefSeq and is a predicted model, not a curated record. The transcript is spliced from 10 exons.